GACGAACGCUGGCGGCGUGCUUAACACAUGCAAGUCGAACGGUAAGGCUCCAGCUUGCUGGGGUACACGAGUGGCGAACGGGUGAGUAACACGUGGGUGACCUGCCCUGCACUUCGGGAUAAGCCUGGGAAACUGGGUCUAAUACCGGAUAGGACCGCACCGUGAGGGUGUGGUGGAAAGUUUUUUCGGUGUGGGAUGGGCCCGCGGCCUAUCAGCUUGUUGGUGGGGUAAUGGCCUACCAAGGCGGCGACGGGUAGCCGGCCUGAGAGGGUGGACGGCCACAUUGGGACUGAGACACGGCCCAGACUCCUACGGGAGGCAGCAGUGGGGAAUAUUGCACAAUGGGCGGAAGCCUGAUGCAGCGACGCCGCGUGGGGGAUGACGGCCUUCGGGUUGUAAACUCCUUUCACCAUCGACGAAGGGUUUCUGACGGUAGAUGGAGAAGAAGCACCGGCUAACUACGUGCCAGCAGCCGCGGUAAUACGUAGGGUGCGAGCGUUGUCCGGAAUUACUGGGCGUAAAGAGCUCGUAGGUGGUUUGUCGCGUCGUCUGUGAAAUUCCGGGGCUUAACUCCGGGCGUGCAGGCGAUACGGGCAUAACUUGAGUACUGUAGGGGAGACUGGAAUUCCUGGUGUAGCGGUGAAAUGCGCAGGUAUCAGGAGGAACACCGGUGGCGAAGGCGGGUCUCUGGGCAGUAACUGACGCUGAGGAGCGAAAGCAUGGGGAGCGAACAGGAUUAGAUACCCUGGUAGUCCAUGCCGUAAACGGUGGGCGCUAGGUGUGGGUUUCCUUCCACGGGAUCCGUGCCGUAGCUAACGCAUUAAGCGCCCCGCCUGGGGAGUACGGCCGCAAGGCUAAAACUCAAAGGAAUUGACGGGGGCCCGCACAAGCGGCGGAGCAUGUGGAUUAAUUCGAUGCAACGCGAAGAACCUUACCUGGGCUUGACAUAUACAGGAUCGCGCCAGAGAUGGUGUUUCCCUUGUGGCUUGUAUACAGGUGGUGCAUGGUUGUCGUCAGCUCGUGUCGUGAGAUGUUGGGUUAAGUCCCGCAACGAGCGCAACCCUUGUCUUAUGUUGCCAGCACGUUGUGGUGGGGACUCGUAAGAAACUGCCGGGGUUAACUCGGAGGAAGGUGGGGAUGGCGUCAAAUCAUCAUGCCCCUUAUGUCCAGGGCUUCACACAUGCUACAAUGGUCGGUACAGUGGGUUGCCAGUCCGUGAGGGCGAGCUAAUCCCGCAAAGCCGGUCUCAGUUCGGAUCGGGGUCUGCAACUCGACCCCGUGAAGUCGGAGUCGCUAGUAAUCGCAGAUCAGCAACGCUGCGGUGAAUACGUUCCCGGGCCU
RNAcentral lists this ribosomal RNA (1341 nucleotides) under uncultured bacterium. RNAcentral's name for it is "partial 16S ribosomal RNA". It matches the Rfam family "Bacterial small subunit ribosomal RNA", at positions 28 to 1381 of the family's 1533-position model. The record is from RNAcentral.